AGAAUCAACGCUGGCGGCGUGCCUAACACAUGCAAGUCGAACGCGGUUACCCGCAAGGGGUAACUGAGUGGCAAACGGGUGAGUAACGCGUGGGUGACCUACCUUCGAGUGGGGGAUAACGUUUCGAAAGGAACGCUAAUACCGCAUGACAUCCUGCCUUUGGACAGGCGGAGAUCAAAGCCGGGGAUCGUAAGACCUGGCGCUUGGAGAGGGGCCCGCGUCCGAUUAGCUAGUUGGUGAGGUAACGGCUCACCAAGGCGACGAU
This 265-nucleotide ribosomal RNA is filed under the name uncultured soil bacterium. RNAcentral's name for it is "partial 16S ribosomal RNA". It matches the Rfam family "Bacterial small subunit ribosomal RNA", at positions 26 to 280 of the family's 1533-position model. The record is from RNAcentral.